CCACGGGUGGUUGCAGUGGGGAAUAUUGGACAAUGGGCGAAAGCCUGAUCCAGCCAUGCCGCGUGUGUGAAGAAGGCCUUCGGGUUGUAAAGCACUUUCAGUGGGGAAGAAAGCCUUGGGGCUAAUACCCUCGAGGAAGGACAUCACCCACAGAAGAAGCACCGGCUAACUCCGUGCCAGCAGCCGCGGUAAUACGGAGGGUGCGAGCGUUAAUCGGAAUUACUGGGCGUAAAGCGCGCGUAGGCGGUCUGAUAAGCCGGUUGUGAAAGCCCCGGGCUCAACCUGGGAACGGCAUCCGGAACUGUCAGGCUAGAGUGCAGGAGAGGAAGGUAGAAUUCCCGGUGUAGCGGUGAAAUGCGUAGAGAUCGGGAGGAAUACCAGUGGCGAAGGCGGCCUUCUGGACUGACACUGACGCUGAGGUGCGAAAGCGUGGGUAGCAAACAGGAUUAGAUACCCGGGUAGUC
RNAcentral lists this ribosomal RNA (464 nucleotides) under Vreelandella stevensii. Its description in RNAcentral is "partial 16S ribosomal RNA". It matches the Rfam family "Bacterial small subunit ribosomal RNA", at positions 339 to 795 of the family's 1533-position model. Lineage: Bacteria; Pseudomonadati; Pseudomonadota; Gammaproteobacteria; Oceanospirillales; Halomonadaceae. The record is from RNAcentral.